This 73-nucleotide transfer RNA is filed under the name Lachnospiraceae bacterium. RNAcentral's name for it is "tRNA-Thr". It matches the Rfam family "tRNA". From Rfam's summary of the family: Transfer RNA (tRNA) molecules are approximately 80 nucleotides in length. Their secondary structure includes four short double-helical elements and three loops (D, anti-codon, and T loops). RNAcentral also lists the same sequence under 2 other names. The record is from RNAcentral. Lineage: Bacteria; Bacillati; Bacillota; Clostridia; Lachnospirales; Lachnospiraceae.
GCUGCUAUAGCACAGUAGGUAGUGCGCAACAUUGGUAGUGUUGAGGUCACCAGUUCGAUUCUGGUUAGCAGCU